AGUGAACGCUGGCGGCAGGCCUAACACAUGCAAGUCGAACGGCAGCACAGUAAGAGCUUGCUCUUACGGGUGGCGAGUGGCGGACGGGUGAGGAAUACAUCGGAAUCUACUUUUUCGUGGGGGAUAACGUAGGGAAACUUACGCUAAUACCGCAUAUGACCUACGGGUGAAAGCAGGGGAUCUUCGGACCUUUCGCGAUUGAAUGAGCCGAUGUCGGAUUAGCUAGUUGGCGGGGUAAAGGCCCACCAAGGCGACGAUCCGUAGCUGGUCUGAGAGGAUGAUCGGCCACACUGGAACUGAGACACGGUCCAGACUCCUACGGGAGGCAGCAGUGGGGAAUAUUGGACAAUGGGCGAAAGCCUGAUCCAGCCAUACCGCGUGGGUGAAGAAGGCCUUCGGGUUGUAAAGCCCUUUUGUUGGGAAAGAAAAGCUGCAGGUUAAUACGCCGCUGUUCUGACGGUACCCAAAGAAUAAGCACCGGCUAACUUCGUG
RNAcentral lists this ribosomal RNA (492 nucleotides) under uncultured bacterium. Its description in RNAcentral is "partial 16S ribosomal RNA". It matches the Rfam family "Bacterial small subunit ribosomal RNA", at positions 29 to 507 of the family's 1533-position model. The record is from RNAcentral.